UGGGGAAUAUUGCACAAUGGGGGAAACCCUGAUGCAGCGACGCCGCGUGAGCGAAGAAGGUUUUCGAAUCGUAAAGCUCUGUCCUAUGGGAAGAUAAUGACGGUACCAUAGGAGGAAGCCCCGGCUAACUACGUGCCAGCAGCCGCGGUAAUACGUAGGGGGCAAGCGUUGUCCGGAAUCAUUGGGCGUAAAGGGUUCGCAGGCGGAAAUGCAAGUCAGUUGUAAAAGGCAGAGGCUCAACCUCUGUAAGCAAUUGAAACUGUAUUUCUUGAGAUGUGGGGAGGCAAGUGGAAUUCCUAGUGUAGCGGUGAAAUGCGUAGAUAUUAGGAAGAAUACCGGUGGCGAAGGCGACUUGCUGGACACAAACUGACGCUGAGGAACGAAAGCGUGGGUAGCAAACAGG
RNAcentral lists this ribosomal RNA (403 nucleotides) under Fusobacteriota bacterium. RNAcentral's name for it is "Fusobacteria bacterium partial 16S ribosomal RNA". It matches the Rfam family "Bacterial small subunit ribosomal RNA", at positions 355 to 776 of the family's 1533-position model. Lineage: Bacteria; Fusobacteriati; Fusobacteriota. The record is from RNAcentral.